This 116-nucleotide ribosomal RNA is filed under the name Pteropus alecto (black flying fox). Lineage: Eukaryota; Metazoa; Chordata; Mammalia; Chiroptera; Pteropodidae. The record is from RNAcentral.
GUCUACGGCCAUGCCACCCUGAACAAGCCCGAUGUCUGAUCUCAGAAGCUAAGCAGGGUCGGGCCCGGUUAGUACUUGGAUGGGAGACCACCUAGGAAGACCAGGUGCUGUAGGCG